Non-coding RNA from Desulfuromonadales bacterium C00003094, 80 nucleotides. Lineage: Bacteria; Pseudomonadati; Thermodesulfobacteriota; Desulfuromonadia; Desulfuromonadales. The record is from Rfam.
GACCGAGAACUGAGGGGACAGGUCUCCUCCUUCAGAUCCGGCAGCGGUAAUACCGUUAAAUCCAAAGCUAAACCAAGGAG